UAAAGUUUGAUUUUGGCUUUUAUUUUACUACUACUUUGUUUUACAUGUAAAUUUUUGUGUGAAUUUAUAUAUAUUUUAAUAAUAUAAUUUGUUUUAUUCUCAGUAUUUGGUAUUAAAUUUAAAGGUUAUUUUGAUUUGGUAAAAGUUUAAGUUCAGAAGAAUUUUGUGCCAGCAUUUGCGGUUAUACAAAUUGGGCUAGUAAAAGUUCUUGGUUAAUAGAAAAUUUUAUUUUGGUGGGGUUAAUUAAUUAAUUUAUAGGUGAAAUUUUAAAUUUUUAAUAAUUUUUUAUCUAUUUAAAUGAAUCUAUGAAACUUUUUAUUUCAAACUAGGAUUAGAUACCCUAUUAUAAUAAGUGUGGACAUUAAACCUGGGUAGUAAUAGAUAUGAUCUUGAAACCUAAAAAAUUUGGCGGUGCUUUAAUCUAUUUAGAGGAACCUGUUCCGUGAUCGAUAGCCCACGAUAAAUUUUACUUGAUUUUGUUCAGCUUGUAUACCGUUGUUGUCAGAAUAUUUCAUAAGAAUAAAAUGUUCUAAUUUUUUUAUAAAAAUUUAUUUCAGAUCAAGGUGUAGUGUAUAAUUAAGAGGAAAUGGGUUACAAUAAAUUUAUUUACAUGGAAAUAAAAUUGAAUGAUUUUAUUAAAGGUGGAUUUAAUAGUAAAAUAUAAAUAUAUAUUUUGUUUGAUAAAAGCUCUAGAGCAUGCACAUAUCGCCCGUCGCUCUUUUUAAUUAAAGAUAAGUCGUAACAAAGUAGAUGUACUGGAAAGUGUAUCUAGAAUG
This 776-nucleotide non-coding RNA is filed under the name Bullanga florida. Lineage: Eukaryota; Metazoa; Arthropoda; Insecta; Neuroptera; Myrmeleontidae. The record is from RNAcentral.